GUAGGUGGCAAGCGUUGUCCGGAAUUAUUGGGCGUAAAGCGCGCGCAGGCGGUUCUUUAAGUCUGAUGUGAAAGCCCACGGCUCAACCGUGGAGGGUCAUUGGAAACUGGGGAACUUGAGUACAGAAGAGGAAAGCGGAAUUCCACGUGUAGCGGUGAAAUGCGUAGAGAUGUGGAGGAACACCAGUGGCGAAGGCGGCUUUCUGGUCUGUAACUGACGCUGAGGCGCGAAAGCGUGGGGAGCAAACAGGGAUUAGAUACCCUGGUAGUCCACGCCGUAAACGAUGAGUGCUAAGUGUUAGGGGGUUUCCCGCCCCCUUAGUGCUGCAGCUAACGCAUUAAGCACUCCGCCUGGGGAGUACGGCCGCAAGGCUG
RNAcentral lists this ribosomal RNA (374 nucleotides) under uncultured organism. Its description in RNAcentral is "partial 16S ribosomal RNA". It matches the Rfam family "Bacterial small subunit ribosomal RNA", at positions 527 to 896 of the family's 1533-position model. The record is from RNAcentral.